Hordeum vulgare subsp. vulgare (domesticated barley) is the source of this 123-nucleotide non-coding RNA. NCBI's taxonomy places the organism in Eukaryota, Viridiplantae, Streptophyta, Magnoliopsida, Poales, Poaceae. The record is from Rfam.
UGGCGAUGAUGAUACGACUAAGGCUUGUUUCUCAAAACAUUCGCAGAUGCCGCCUAAGAGCUUUCGCCCUGCCAGGCUUUUGAGAGCUAAUGCUGCUAAUUCCUUCCUUGGAUGUCUGAGCCA